Molecule: ribosomal RNA, 449 nt
Filed under: uncultured bacterium
Lineage: Bacteria
Description: partial 16S ribosomal RNA
Rfam family: Bacterial small subunit ribosomal RNA
Source: RNAcentral
AACGAACGCUGGCGGCAGGCUUAACAAAUGCAAGCCGAACGCCACCUACGGGUGGAGGGGCAGACGGGUGAGUAACGCGUGGGAACAUACCUUAUGGUUCGGACUAUUCCCGGGAAACGGGGAACAAUACCGAAUAAGCCCUUGUGGGGAAAGAUUUAUCGCCAAAAGAUUGGCCCGCGUUAGAUUAGGUAGUUGGUAGGGUAAAGGCCUACCAAGCCUACGAUCUAUAGCUGGUCUGAGAGGAUGAUCAGCCACAUUGGGACUGAGACACGGCCCAAACUCCCACGGGAGGCAGCAGUGGGGAAUAUUGGACGAUGGGGGGAAGACAGAUCCAGCCAUGCCGCGUGAAUGAUGAAGGCCUUAGGGUUGUAGAAUUCUUUCAACGGGGACGAUAAUGACGGUACCCGUAGAAGAAGCCCCGGCUAACUUCGUGCCAGCAGCCGCAGUAA